UCAUGGCUACUCUCAUCAUGCAAUGCAUAGUUGUGUAGUCAUUAAGUCACUUCAUGUAAGUAUCUCUCACGGCACGAGGAGCAUUGGCUACAGGUUCUUCAGGUAUCUGAUCCGUAAGGAUGUAUAAAAUCUUUUUGUGCUUUGAGAUGAUCUUUAACUUUCGAUAUCAGUUAUCGAAGUUCGGUCCGAUGAGCUUAUCGCU
Molecule: long non-coding RNA, 202 nt
Filed under: Elaeis guineensis (African oil palm)
Lineage: Eukaryota; Viridiplantae; Streptophyta; Magnoliopsida; Arecales; Arecaceae
Description: long non-coding RNA (EGUI_LNC008430)
Source: RNAcentral